GCACGGAGGGAUUCUCCACCUAGGGUGGU
This 29-nucleotide small RNA is filed under the name Bombyx mori (domestic silkworm). RNAcentral's name for it is "ovarian small RNA-16382". Lineage: Eukaryota; Metazoa; Arthropoda; Insecta; Lepidoptera; Bombycidae. The record is from RNAcentral.